AUCUAUGGCCAUACCACCCGGAACGCACCCAACCUCAUCUGAUCUCAGAAGCUGAGCAAGGUAGGGCCUGGUUGGUACUUGAGUAGGAGACAAAGGAUGAACAUUAAUGUGAGCUAUGGCCU
RNAcentral lists this ribosomal RNA (122 nucleotides) under Carlito syrichta (Philippine tarsier). Lineage: Eukaryota; Metazoa; Chordata; Mammalia; Primates; Tarsiidae. The record is from RNAcentral.